RNAcentral lists this ribosomal RNA (253 nucleotides) under uncultured bacterium. RNAcentral's name for it is "partial 16S ribosomal RNA". It matches the Rfam family "Bacterial small subunit ribosomal RNA", at positions 524 to 776 of the family's 1533-position model. The record is from RNAcentral.
UACGAAGGGGGCUAGCGUUGUUCGGAAUCACUGGGCGUAAAGCGCACGCAGGCGGAUUGAUAAGUCAGGGGUGAAAUCCCGGGGCUCAACCUCGGAAUUGCCUUUGAUACUGCAAGUCGUGAGUCCGGAAGAGGUGAGUGGAAUUCCUAGUGUAGAGGUGAAAUUCGUAGAUAUUAGGAAGAACACCAGUGGCGAAGGCGGCUCACUGGUCCGGUACUGACGCUGAGGUGCGAAAGCGUGGGGAGCAAACAGG